This 396-nucleotide ribosomal RNA is filed under the name uncultured bacterium. RNAcentral describes it as "bacterial SSU rRNA". It matches the Rfam family "Bacterial small subunit ribosomal RNA", at positions 355 to 768 of the family's 1533-position model. The record is from RNAcentral.
UCGGGAAUUUUGGGCAAUGGGGGAAACCCUGACCCAGCAACGCCGCGUGAGUGAUGAAGGCCCUAGGGUUGUAAAGCUCUUUUACCAGGGAUGAUAAUGACAGUACCUGGAGAAUAAGCUCCGGCUAACUCCGUGCCAGCAGCCGCGGUAAGGCGAGGGAUCCUAGCGUUGUUCGGAAUCAUUGGGCGUAAAGCGGGUGUAGGCGGACUUUUAAGUCAGGUGUGAAAUCCCAGGGCUCAACCCUGGAAGUGCACUUGAUACUGCAAGUCUUGAGUGUGGUAGAGGCUAUUAGAAUUCUUGGUGUAGUGGUGAAAUACGUAGAUAUCAAGAGGAACACCUGAGGUGAAGACGGGUUGCUGGGCUGACACUGACGCUGAGGCGCGAAAGCCAGGGGAG